Molecule: non-coding RNA, 96 nt
Organism: Xylariaceae sp. AK1471
Lineage: Eukaryota; Fungi; Ascomycota; Sordariomycetes; Xylariales; Xylariaceae
Source: the annotation of a GenBank genome assembly
GGUGAGAUGGCCGAGUGGUUAUGGCGCUGCGUUCAGGUCAACUGAACAAAUUUCGCAGUGGAGCAAUCCGCGUGGGUUCGAGUCCCACUCUCAUCA